UACAGAGGUCUCAAGCGUUGUUCGGAUUCACUGGGUUUAAAGGGUGCGUAGGCGGACAGAUAAGUCAGUGGUGAAGUCUCCGAGCUUAACUCGGAAACUGCCGUUGAUACUAUUUGUCUUGAAUACUGUGGAGGUAAGCGGAAUAUGUCAUGUAGCGGUGAAAUGCUUAGAUAUGACAUAGAACACCAAUUGCGAAGGCAGCUUACUACACAGUUAUUGACGCUGAGGCACGAAAGCGUGGGGAUCAAACAGG
This 253-nucleotide ribosomal RNA is filed under the name uncultured bacterium. Its description in RNAcentral is "partial 16S ribosomal RNA". It matches the Rfam family "Bacterial small subunit ribosomal RNA", at positions 524 to 776 of the family's 1533-position model. The record is from RNAcentral.